AGCUCGUAGUUGGAUUUCUGUUAAUUGCUUUAUAUAAUUUAUGCUUUGCUGCAUAUUUAUAUAGUAUUAACAUAAUUCAUAUUACUAUAUUUUUCUAGUAUAUGAAACUUUACUUUGAGAAAAUUAGAGUGCUUAAAGCAGGCUUUUGCCUUGAAUACUUCAGCAUGGAAUAAUAAUAAAAGAUUUUUAUCUUUCUUUAUUGGUUCUAAGAUAGAAAUAAUGAUUAAUAGGGACAGUUGGGGGCAUUUGUAUUUAACAGUUAGAGGUGAAAUUCUUAGAUUUGUUAAAGACAAACUAGUGCGAAAGCAUUUGCCAAGGAUGUUUUCAUUAAUCAAGAACGAAAGUUAGGGGAUCGAAGACGAUCAGAUACCGUCGUAGUCUUAACCAUAAACUAUGCCAACUAGAGAUUGGAGGUUGUUCCUUACUCCUUCAGCACCUUA
RNAcentral lists this ribosomal RNA (440 nucleotides) under Cryptosporidium environmental sequence. RNAcentral's name for it is "bacterial SSU rRNA". It matches the Rfam family "Eukaryotic small subunit ribosomal RNA", at positions 625 to 1090 of the family's 1831-position model. The record is from RNAcentral. Lineage: Eukaryota; Apicomplexa; Conoidasida; Eucoccidiorida; Cryptosporidiidae.